AUGCAAGUAAAGCAAGAAACAGCCCCCUCCCCUUUUCCUUGCUGCACCCAGCCUCAUUCACUCCCUCGGAAGGGCCCUUCCUGCAAUAUCGCACCAGGCGCGCGUCUUUCUCCUAAUCCGAAGCAGAGCCGAGGCCCUGGCGAGCGGACAGGGCCUAGGGGCCACCAAUCGCGCCCGCGCCGCCCCCCCCCCCCGGCGGGACGCUGCAAGAGCAUCUUUCCUUGCCCUCCGGGCCGGCAGCCAGCGGUCCCCGGGCGCAAGCGAUGCGGAACCUGUAGCUCUCCAGCCGGUCCAAACUUCCCCCAGCAGCAGCUGCUGCUGCUGCCCCUACCCUGCCGGGGGCAGGGGUGGUGGUGCCCCCCCCCGCAGCCCCCGUCCCCCCGCCCAUUCUUCCUCCACCCUCUCCAUCCAGGGGGAGUGCGAACCCCUCCGGCCGCCUGGGGCCCGACCUGGCGGCCUGGUCCUUCUUGCAGGGCCGCCCGCCGCUCCCAGCCAGGCCGAGCGCCAGGCCGGCCAGCCGCCCACCCCACGUGGAGCGGCGAGGGGCGCCCUCUCCUCUCCUCCCCUCCCCUCCUUCCCUGCCCGCCCGCCCCGCCGUCGCUUACCGGCCCGAGCCGGGGCUGCCUCGCCGCGCCUCGGCCUCCUCGCCUCUCUGGUCCCCGCCCGCCGCCCCCNCCCUCCCUCGACAGAGCAGGCGGGGAAGCGAAGCGAAGCGAGGAGCGAAGCGCGCCGCUUGCGCCUCUUUCGCUGCAUCAGGUGACANACGCAAAGGGGCCACCGCAGCGCCGCCGAUGCGCGCCGGCAGGGCGGAGCCGCGCCGCGCCGUGCGGGGAGGGGGGGACGACGGGGGACGGGAGGCCGNCUCUUGGACCAAUGCAAGGAAGGCGCGGUGACCAUACAGAAAAGGGGAGAGGGCGCCUGCACGCGUAUUUGUUCUCCUUCUUUCUAUCCCGGAGGGCGCAGGGCGGGUCACACCUUUCCCUAAAACUGCCCAAGACAUUAGGGCCUUUUUGCAUGGUUGAACCUUCUGAU
Molecule: long non-coding RNA, 1032 nt
Filed under: Salvator merianae (Argentine black and white tegu)
Lineage: Eukaryota; Metazoa; Chordata; Lepidosauria; Squamata; Teiidae
Description: lncRNA (ENSSMRG00000020390.1)
Source: RNAcentral